This 372-nucleotide ribosomal RNA is filed under the name uncultured bacterium. RNAcentral describes it as "bacterial SSU rRNA". It matches the Rfam family "Bacterial small subunit ribosomal RNA", at positions 29 to 417 of the family's 1533-position model. The record is from RNAcentral.
AAUGAACGUUGGCGGCAUGGAUUAGGCAUGCAAGUCGAGCGAGAACCGUAGCAAUACGGGGACAGCGGCGAAAGGGAGAGUAACGCGUGGAUAUCUACCUCCGGGCCUGGGAUAGCUGCGGGAAACUGCAGGUAAUACCGGAUAAUGUCUGAGGACCAAAGGUGUGAUUCCUCCUGGAGAUGAGUCCGCGUCCUAUUAGCUAGUUGGUAGGGUAAUGGCCUACCAAGGCAAUGAUGGGUAGCAGGUGUGAGAGCACGACCUGCCUCACUGGGACUGAGACACUGCCCAGACACCUACGGGUGGCUGCAGUCGAGAAUCUUCGGCAAUGGGCGCAAGCCUGACCGAGCGAUGCCGCGUGCGGGAUGAAGGCCU